UGCCUCUCUGAGGUUGACUUGGGGCUGUCCUUGUGUGUUUCAGUCAAAGAGGGCUACAGAGUCUGGUCAGAUGCUAACAUCACAUUUGAGUUUUGUACCUUCUCAGAAAAUGGCAUCCUUCUGGGGAUCAGCCUUGCCAAGGUGGAUGCCAAUGAACUGUAGCUUGUAAACAGCAAGCUUGGAAGGCACAAUCCACACAGGUCUGCAUGGUCCACCAGAGCUCCACACCCACGGGGCCAGCCGGGGCUCUCUUCUGAAGCAGGGUCUCGCUCUGUUGCCGAGGCUGGAUCACAGCUCACUG
Long non-coding RNA from Cercocebus atys (sooty mangabey), 301 nucleotides. RefSeq lists it as uncharacterized. The record is from RefSeq and is a predicted model, not a curated record. The transcript is spliced from 3 exons. NCBI's taxonomy places the organism in Eukaryota, Metazoa, Chordata, Mammalia, Primates, Cercopithecidae.